This 2691-nucleotide long non-coding RNA is filed under the name Olea europaea (common olive). RNAcentral's name for it is "long non-coding RNA (OEUR_LNC004661)". The record is from RNAcentral. Lineage: Eukaryota; Viridiplantae; Streptophyta; Magnoliopsida; Lamiales; Oleaceae.
ACAAGUAAUAAUAAGUAAGUUAAGAGUUAUCAUCUCACGGGGAAUAAAUUGAACUUAAGUUUACUAGUAUCGUAUGAAAUUCGAAUUAUGAAAACAAAGUAAAUAUUUUGAUUUGAUUUAAACUAAACUAAUAUAAGAAAGCAAUAAAAAUUUGGGGUUUUUGUCAAAUUAUGGAGGAUUGUAUUGAAUUUCGACUCUGUCUAUUGCUAUUUAUUUCAAUUCUUGAUUCGUAAUCUAAUUCCAUUCCGUGUACUUGACAAUCGAUAACGCUAAAUUAUUCAAUGCUCUUUUUCAUGACACACGAACCUUUGAUUAACAUGACCCGAUCCUCUUCCUAGUCCAAAUUCAUAUGAAAAUCACGCAUUAGUUCAAGUUAUCAAUAGGAUUGCAUGUAUGAUAGAUAUUAUUCAUAAUCCUAACUAUACAUGUUAAUUUUGCCGCGUUCUAAACUCGUUGUGAGUAUUCCUAUACUACAACAAGCAACUAACUAUUCAAUUGAUGGUUAAACAAUUCAAUAAUGCAAUGAGAAUGCAUAAUUAAUCAAAAAACACAAUAAUUAAACUAAAUUAGUUGUCUUGAAUUUAAAAUAAAUAACAAAUAGGGUUCAUCUCAUCCAACACAAAAAAGGAAUUAGCCUAACAUGAUAUUGAAAUUAAUGAACAAAUAAAUGUGGAAGGGCAUCACCAAAAUUUUUGACAGAACAUAAUUAAUUUUUAUCACAAUGAUUCUGCCAUCUUUUUCUCCUCCGAUGUUUUCUGUGUGUGUCGUCUCCUUCCAGUAAUUACUUGUCUCUGUUUGCGUAUAUCUACCUUCAUUCCUUUGCAUUUAUAUUAAUUCCAGCAGUAGAUAGGCCGUGUAUCUUCGGCUUUCUGUCUCUUCCAACAACCGCCAAUUUGCGUGACAUAUAUAUAUAUAUAUAUAUAUAUAUAUUUCAGCUCAAUUCUCUCCUCUCUAAGGCAGCGUUUUCUAAGUAUAAAUAUAUAAAUUCAGCAGCUGUCAAUUUCUUUUUCUUCCCUCCUGGUUUGUUUUUCUGUUAGAAUAAAUAUACAAUGUUGGCUCCCCAAAGCUGUCGAUUUCUUGAGUGUAUUUAUAAUUGAUCUUCGACAGACUGCCCUCCUUAAUUUCUGCGCCUUUUUGUAUAUAUCUUUAACCUAGCAGCAGCCCAAUUUGAUUAACACCCAAACUCCCAAGCUACCGACUUGCGUGAGAUAUAUAUAAAUCCACUUUACUUCUGCAAGUAGGAGUCCACUUUCAAUUAAAUUCCAAGCCCAUUAUGGUGGUUUUAUUUCCAAUUCCUCAAUUUUCAUCCAAUGGCCAAUUUAGUUCACGUACUUUCGAUUUUGCCAUUUCUCAUCAAUUUUUGCUUUUUCCUUCACUUCCUUUUCAUUCGUAGAGUUUCACCUACUAAACCUAAAACACAACAAUUUAGAAUGUAUUUUGUCAGAAGACUAUCAAAUAUUAUUAUUUUAGGGUCCCGAAUAAGUGUAUAAAAUACACUUAUCACAAUGGUGCAACCAUUGGAGAUGCCUCUAUUAGAGUGUGUUUGAUUGACAUGGAAAAUAUUACUUAGAAAAGAAAAUAUUUUCCAUCUUUUGUGAAAAAUAAAAACCACCUCUACCCAAGGAAAAUAUUUUCCUUAAAAACAAGGAAAAUUAGGCAUAUUUUCAAAAGUUGAAAAAUAUUUUCCAUAGAAAAAAAUAGCAAUCAAACACUCUAAGUAGGAAUUUGGAUGAAAAACUGAUAUUUUCCAUGGAAAAUAUAUGUAAUCACACCCUUAGUGUAACAACAGAAAUAUUAGAAUUAAAUUUGUAAAUAUUUUGAUAUUUUUAAUUUUAUAUUAUUAUUGCUCUGAUUUAUUAAAAUAAUAAAAAUUAUGAAUAAUCUAAUAACACAUUAAAUAAACCACUAUUAAUAUUUAUUGAAUAACUUGGUUCUUAGGAUUUUACAAAAUAAUUAAUGUUUUUCUUAUUUUCUUUCUUAUCAUAUUAAUAUAUCCGAUAGGGGUCCAGAAACGAACUCAGAACACGGUUUGGCCAGUUUUUGAUUUGCCAUUUAAACCAGAUGUUUCAACUAAAAAUGAGGAAACAUUUGUGGAUUAUCACCUUUUCUUUUUUCUUCUGUGGUUUCUUGUAUCUCGACCAAAAAAAUGUUUGAACGAAAUAUUAGAGUAAAAUAUAUAAUUCAACAACAACAUUCUAGUUCCUGCUGAUUAACGAGGUCAAAACUCGUUGAUCAAUAAACAAGAAUCCAAGAACAAUCUUUUUGUUCAUAUCGAUCGAAGACUUUUUGAUUCACGCAUAAUAUUAACAAUUUGGACAGAAAAAAUGUGGCAAUCAAAUGCAAAGUUAAGUAUAGCUAAAAGGGGUGUUGGCAAUGGCCUGGUUGCAGUUGCCAUAGACAAAGACAGAGGAAGCCAACAUGCAAUCAGAUGGACAAUCGAUAAUCUGCUCACCAGAGGCAAUACUAUAAUACUCAUUCAUGUCUUGAAAAGGGCGCCAUCUUCGCGUAAUUAUUUCUUAUCUUUCUUUCAGAUAUUGGAUCUUACAAUUCUUCCUAUUCAUGCAUUAGCUUUGGAAAGCAUAGCAUAUUAUGUGAUUAGUGCGUAUAAUAGUAAUUUUGGCCAUUGGAAUCGAGGGUGGAUGCAAGAAUAUGACCGUAAUGAAAUUGGAAUUGCGAUAAAUUAGGCUUCUU